Molecule: transfer RNA, 87 nt
Filed under: Plenodomus tracheiphilus IPT5
Lineage: Eukaryota; Fungi; Ascomycota; Dothideomycetes; Pleosporales; Leptosphaeriaceae
Rfam family: tRNA
About the family: Transfer RNA (tRNA) molecules are approximately 80 nucleotides in length. Their secondary structure includes four short double-helical elements and three loops (D, anti-codon, and T loops). Further hydrogen bonds mediate the characteristic L-shaped molecular structure. tRNAs have two regions of fundamental functional importance: the anti-codon, which is responsible for specific mRNA codon recognition, and the 3' end, to which the tRNAs corresponding amino acid is attached (by aminoacyl-tRNA synthetases). tRNAs cope with the degeneracy of the genetic code in two manners: having more than one tRNA (with a specific anti-codon) for a particular amino acid; and 'wobble' base-pairing, i.e. permitting non-standard base-pairing at the 3rd anti-codon position.
Source: Rfam by way of RNAcentral
CUCCGCUUGGUGUAGUUGGUUUAUCACGUUCGACUGUAAUGGCAAAUUGUUAUCGAAAGGUCCCUAGUUCGAUUCUGGGAGCGGAGA